CGCAAACUUUCUUUUCGAUAUGAACUCUAAAAAAAAAUUACGCUGUUAUCCCUAAGGUAAUUUAAUCUUAUAAUCAUAAAAAUAUGGAUCAUUUAUUCAUAUAUCAAUGUUUUAAUAUAAAAAAAGUUAAUUAAAUUUUUUAGUUGCCCCAACUAAAUAUUUAUACUUAUAUUUAAAUCUAUAAUACUUAAACUUUUAAAUAUAAAUAUUAAUAUAAAAUUCUAUAGGGUCUUCUCGUCUUUUAAAAUUAUUUAAGCUUUUUAACUCAAAAAUAAAAUUCUAAUUUAAAUUAAACUGAGACAGUUUUUUCCUCGUCAAACCUUUCAUACCAGUUCUCAAUCAAAAAACUAAUUAUUAUGCUACCUUUGCACGGUCAAAAUACCGCGGCCAUUUAAAAUUUAAUUCAUAGGGCAGGUCAGACUUUAUAUUAUAAUCAAAAAGACAU
This 445-nucleotide ribosomal RNA is filed under the name Scarabaeus brittoni. Its description in RNAcentral is "partial 16S ribosomal RNA". The record is from RNAcentral. Lineage: Eukaryota; Metazoa; Arthropoda; Insecta; Coleoptera; Scarabaeidae.